GGUUGUAGCUUGGAGGUAGAGCACUUGCCUCAAACUCAUAAGGCCCUGGGUUCUAUUCUCAGCACCA
This 67-nucleotide transfer RNA is filed under the name Marmota monax (woodchuck). RNAcentral's name for it is "tRNA.Leu". Lineage: Eukaryota; Metazoa; Chordata; Mammalia; Rodentia; Sciuridae. The record is from RNAcentral.